GUCAGGAUGGCCCGAAUGGUCUAAGGCUCUGCGUUCAGGUCGCAGUCUCCCCUGGAGGCGUGGGUUCGAAUCCCACUUCUGACA
RNAcentral lists this transfer RNA (84 nucleotides) under Mesocricetus auratus (golden hamster). It matches the Rfam family "tRNA". From Rfam's summary of the family: Transfer RNA (tRNA) molecules are approximately 80 nucleotides in length. Their secondary structure includes four short double-helical elements and three loops (D, anti-codon, and T loops). Lineage: Eukaryota; Metazoa; Chordata; Mammalia; Rodentia; Cricetidae. The record is from Rfam by way of RNAcentral.